CGAGACAGUGAAUACAAUGAAAUACAUAAAAUACAAUAGGAUGCAUUGAAAUACAAUAAAGAAAGACAGUGAAUACAAUGAAAUACAACGAGAUACAUUAAAUUAUAACGGAAAAAAGAAGGCAAUGAAUACAAUGAAAUACAUGAAAAUAUAUUAAAAUAUAAUCAAGUUGUCCAGCCCCAAACUCCAACAUCUUUGUUCAAGAAUAAACCUUAAUUUCCAACUAAUCCUUUGUUCACCAGAAGCCGGGAGUAAAAAUGUGCAGCCUUGGCCCGACGAUAUGCCGGAGUCGAGAUCACUUCCUGAGCAGAAGCAAUCACCAAUAAGACCGCCACUAUGGCAAAAAACAUCGUCAUAGCCUUCAAUGCUAUAUUUCAGAAGAUGUAGAAGUCAUAAAAACUCCGAUAGUACAGUAAAUUGAAGAGAGAUAAUUUAAUUAAUACAUCAAAAAGUAGAUACUUUUUCGGACUGGAGCAGUUGAAGGUGGCCAAUCGAUAAAGAGGAUAUUUACUAACUUCAUUAUUGAAUAGCAUAUCAAAAUAGGGAGAGAAUGAAAAUAGUGUAAUUGAUAGUAUAUUUAGUGGCUAGGGAUAAAAGAAUAAAAUUAAAUAUUUUGCUAUAAAUAUUAAAAUGUAUCAUAAUAUUAUUUUUUGAAUGGUAUUUAUUUAAAAUAAAUAAAAUAUUAACUUUUGCUAUACGAGAUAAAAAUAUUAAAAAAAAAUUAAUGAAAUGAUAUAAACUUUAUAAAAAAAAUGGUGUACAAAAAUCAUUAGAACAAACAUAUGAACAGAAAAAAGAACACCUGCUUAGCUAAUUUUCUUUCUCAACUGAUAUGGUUAGGUUUUGUCAGAUUCCAGUGAUUCCACCAUGCUAAUAGUAGGACCACUGUAUAUGAUGAAUGCCUAGUAAGAUUUAUAAUGCCUUUAAUAAAGAAAAAGAGAAAGAGGAAGCAAAAUUAGUUGACUUUGCUAGUGUUAGCAACUAGGUUUUGCUUCAAACACAAACGAAUCAUUAACUAUUCAGUGCUUUGUUUCUGCAUGAAACGUUAUCCGUCGCAAUUUAUGCGAUGCAAUUUAACUAGACAUAAAUAUUUAUGGUCUAAAUAAAAAAUUAUCCUGUUAAAUAUAAAAAUAAAGAAUUUGAUGUAAAAUUAUUUUUAAGUGAAAUUAAUAAAUUUAUAAACAAAUGCUGAUUUAAAAAAAAGUGAUUUUUUUUUGAGAAAAAUGAAAAAAAUUCUUAUGUCCAAAUAGGCUCUAAGGAGAAGUUUUAUUUCGUGCCUCACAACUGACACUAGUUAUAUGCGACUCCUUUUUGUUUCACGAAUUUGUGGAUCCCAAUCUUAUAUUUUUGGGUCUAUAAAUUUAUGAGACAAAAAAACUUCAUACAACUAAUAUCAGUAGUAUAAAACACAAAAUAAAAAUUUCCGGCUCAAGUACCCAACCUUUUUUAGGACUUAUUUGAAUGGACUAUCUUGCUAUGCAGCUGCCUUGCAACAACGCGACCUCCUUUUGUCACUUCAUUGAGAUAUGGAAUGAACAAGACAAAAAGGUUUAUUUUAAAAUCAAGAAAUCCCACAAUUCAACUUUACCUUUUGCUUUUGUACGCUUUAGUUUAAAAAUAGAAAUGAGUGAUUCAACACUGUUUUUGGAAUUUGAUAUGUUUAACCUUUUGAAUUCUCUGUGGAAGUUUUUGGAGCAUGCCCUAGCAAAGUUUACUUUGCCUCCAGUAAGUGUAGUGUUUGUCCUUUCUCUUUUGAGUCCCCACUUAAAUAUUGCGAUCCAACUUGCUUUAUUUCAAUAUGUGACAUGGUAACUUUUUCCUGAAAGCUCUUAACCUUUUAGAUUCUAACUUUCUUGGUGCAUGUUGCAAAUGAGAUCACAAUUGUGUCUUGAGAAUCAUUUGAUUCAACUAAUGAUAAGAUUUACUUACAGAAAUAAUUUGCAUAACUAAUUUGUUUCGUAUAUUACUGCGUUUUGAACCUUGUUUGAUUACCUUUUUGCUUUCUUCUAUAUGUGGUUAAUUCAAACCCCCCAUAAAAAGGUAGCUCAAUACGGCGUUCACGUAGGAUCCGAGUAAAGACCGCUCCUAAAAAAUAUUAUAGUUAAUCUACCUUAAUACAAACAUUAAAUGGUUAUUUUCUCGACUCGAACUUAUUACCUAUAGAUCACAUGAAAUAAUUUUACCUUUCCUCUGAGGUUCACCAUCCUAUAUCAUGUUAAUUCAAUGAGUUGAUGUCUUUCCAACUUGAUUAGGGGACUUCAGUCUUCAGAUUUUCCAACGAUGCAUAAUAAGAUUCCUAAAUAUAAAAUGUUACAAUCUCUGGAGGCUUGUUACAUUAAUGAUUCCACUUAUGUCUUGUCAAAUACUCCUAUCAAGUUGUUGAAUGUGCUAUAUUUUACAUCAUUUUUCCCUCCCCUGUUCCCUACCCAUUGUUAUAACGGGAAAGUUUUGAGAGUUUACGAUUAUAAUAAGAAAAUUCAGUUACUUUAAUUUAAUGUAAUGUAAACAAUUUUAAUUGUUAGAGUGACCAGAAAUGCAGAAUAAUAUGUUUGGUUAAGUUUUCAAAAGCUCCUUAUUUUCGAGAAAUACUUUUGGAUAAUCGUAUUUUAUGUUUGCUUAAACAAUUUUGUAUAUGGGUAAAAGCGGGGUAACCUGCACCCUAAUUUUUCGGUGGGUUAAACGAAACACAGGCAUGACUAUACGGGGUCGGAAUUGAAGCCGGAACGUUUCGUGCUAAGGUCCGAACGGAGUAUAUGCCACUGGGCUGGAUGAGACGGUACUUCCCCAAUCCCAGAACGAGCUCCGAGACCUCGGAAAGCAGUUAUGCACGACCAACAGAGGACCGAGAUAUUUUACCCCAAUGACUAUUACGGGUCGUAUCUCGCUCGACAACGGCAACAAAUUGGUAAUUGACUAAGAGGAGGAAAUUUACCCUUUUUUAGAAUUGUACAAGGGGUAAACCUCCCCCGCUAUAUAAAGAGAAAGUUUCAUAUUAAUAAACACAUUAUAAUAUGCAUAUCAAGACAAUACAAACUUUCUUUAUUUGCUUCUAAGUUAUUCAAAAGUUCUUAUUUUUGCUCAUAGUUCUUCAUAAUCGAGCUUCUAACAAUUUUCUUUGAAAAGUUCCGGAAUUCGGGCUCGUGAGCCCGAUGAUGAAUGUUAGGAAUCUUGUAUUUAGUGUUGGGUAAUCACUUUAAUGGUUGGGUUACGAACUUUUAAACAUACAUUGCUUUUUUACACUAUUUGAAUAGUUUUGGAUUGUUUGGCAUCGAAUUGAGGGUUUGGACAUAAUAUCGGACCAUAAAAUAAGCCUUGAGACGAGGUAAGUCUCUUUUCUAACCUUGUAAGAGGGAAAUUUCUCCAUAAGUGAACUUAAUUAAAAUAUGAUUAAUUUUUUUUGUUUGNNNNNNNNNNNNNNNNNNNNNNNNNNNNNNNNNNNNNNNNNNNNNNNNNNNNNNNNNNNNNNNNNNNNNGGGGGGGGGGGGGGGGGGGAUUACGUACACACAAAGUGAUAAGACUCUGUAUGUAGCUACUAUUCCUGAUUAUGUCCGAAUACUUUUAGAUUUACAUCAUGCUUUUUGGACACCAUUAUUGAUUAUAUUUGCUUAUUGUAACAAAUGAAAUUCGUUGAGGAUUUUCAAGGAUUUAAAAGCUUCAGGUUGAAUUGUCUCUAUUUUAAAAAGAAUCCAGAAAGGGUUAUGAUUUAAUGAUAAAAUUAUAUUUGACUGUAUCGCAUUUAUGAUUCGCAAGCAGGGUAAGUAUAUGCAUCUAUGGUUCGCGUCGUUCAACCCUCGAUAGUGCACAAUUUAUGUUUAUAUUGGACCGGGCCGAACGUCCUUGGUGGAAUUUGUGUGUAAUAAUAGAACUGGAAGUCCUUUUUAUAGCUUGUAUACAUUCAGUGUUUGAGAGAUCAUUUGUUAUAAAUGAAAGUGUUUUUAGUUUAUAAAUAUGAUGAAAGAAUUGUUCAGUUGUUUUACGUUCUGAGUUUUAUUGUUAUCUCUAUAUAUCAUGCUUAAUUAUAUUUUCAUAUUAUUAUAUUAUUUAGCCCUAGUAAGUGUUGGAGUCGACCCCCCGUCACUACUUUUUUAUUGUUAGACUAGAUACUUAGUGGGUACAUAUUUUUAUGUACUCACGCUACACUUAUGUACUUAAUUGUACAAGAUUUGAGGCAGGUGCAUCUGGCCACCAGUCUGACAUGCAGAUUUGAUCCCCAUCCCAAGAAUUCACGAUGAACUGCCUUUUGAGCCAUUCGACAGCAGCUAGAGUCUCUCUUAUGCUUUAUUUUCACGUCUAUUUUUUUUGGAGACAGUUAGCAUUCUUUUGUAUAUUCUACUAGAUUUCCCACGUACUUGUUAAGCCUAAAUCCAACCCGACACUUAACAUCUCAACUGGUUUAGUUAUUUAUCUUAUCUUUAUUUUGCUUAUAUGAUAUUCUUGAUCAUUUCUGUUGAAUUAAUCCACGUAUCCUUAAAAUCGCGUAAUAAUUUAAUGCGCCACCGUGGGGCUAAUAAUAAUAAUGGUGGUUUGAUACAAAUUUCUAUAACACAAUCUAUUUUACGCUUGCACUUUAAGGUUUCACUUUCAAGAUAACUUAAUAAUAUCAAACUCUCAGUCUGUUCACCUAAACAUUAACGUUGAGUCGAGCCAUCAUCGCGAAAAAAAUAAUAUGGCGCCUAACAAAGAGGUACCCCAUGCUGAUCCUAACAGAGUCCCGGCUGCCGACCCAAAAGAUGCUAAUUCGCAUGUGGCCAUCGACACCAACUUGCCUACUGACCUUGAGAACAACAUUCGUGGAGGAGCGCUAUCAAUGGCUCGAGGAGAGCUUUAAGGCGAAGGCAACGAGGUCAGUCUACGGGUGAUCUUCGAAAGGUUACAGGUCUAAUAGGCGAUGAUACCGCAAUUACAAAAUUAAAUUCGUGACCCCAGCAGGGUUGAAACCGAACCAUAUUGGGAAAACACCCGAAGAAAUGAGCAGAUCACUGAAAGCCCGGGUGAAAUAGAGACCGGUGUCAACCUCGAAGUAAUGAAAAUACUUGAAUCACUAACAAAAUGGGUAGAGUCAUGUGAAAAGAAAAUUGAGGCAACACAAAAAUUAGAGUGCCUGGCAGUAACUUUCGCCGACGUCCACAAUAGGUAUAGUCAAAUAUCAGAGUCAAGAACGAUCAUCUCGGGGCCCCUUCUGGGUUUGUUUAUCCCAUCAAAACGAAAGACAGGUCUAAGAGAGUCGUCGAUCAUGAACUGAUACUGAACCGAUACUGGUGUCAGCCAUAUAGCGGAGAUCAAAAGGGCAAAGGAUAUAGGCAUCACCCUACGAGGAACGAAAAGAGGAGCGAUCGAGACCACAACAGCCAAGAUCUGAUGAGCGAAAACAAUUUUGAUAGGCCACUCGGGGCCAGGGAGGUACCAAUAUUAUUAUUAGAAUAUAACUUCAACGUUGAUGAUGCCAGCAUCGUAUAAGCCAUUAGGUGCAUCAAGGAGACCAAGUGGCCUCGACCACUGUAGUAUGAUCCUACCCAAGGAGAUCCUAACUUGAUGUGUAAGUACUAUGGAACUCAUGGCAACAUGAUCGAGGAUUUCUUGAAAUUGAGAGAAGAAGUUGCCCGGUUAUUUAAUAACAGACACCUACGAGAAUUUCUGAGUGAUCGAACCAAAAACAACUUCAGAAAUAGGGAUGCCAAUAAACAGACUAAAUAAGAGGAACCUCAACACGUCAUCAACAUGAUCAUUGGAGGGAUCGAGGUCCCCAAGGGCCGAUGAUAAAAUUUAUUAAAGUGUCGAUCACAAGGGAGAAACUCACCCGGGAUUAUAUCCCAGAGGGAACCAGUUCGUUUAGCGAUGAGGAUGUCGAGGGAAUCAUACAAACUCAUAAUGAUGCAUUAGUAAUUAUUUUACUUAUCAAUAAAUCUCGAGUUACACUUGUGUUGAUUGAUCCAUAUAGCUCGGCCAUAUCAUCAGAUCCAGGGUCGUAGAGCCGUUAUGGUUACAAGAUCAAAUAGUGCCAGCAGUUCGAGUAUUAAACAGAUAUAACAUGGCAUGUGAAACUACUAAAUGGGAGAUAACCCUACCCGUGAACAGUGCCGGGACCAUCCAGGAAACAACAUUCUAUGUGAUCGAAGGGGAUAUGAGAUAUAACACUCUAUUCCGAAGACCAUGGGUUCACAACAUGAGGGCAGUGCCAUCGACCUUACACCAAGCAUUAAAGUUCAUACUCCGAGAGGAAUCAAGCUAGUGUAUAGAGAGAAGCUAGUUGCAAAGGAGAUUUUUGCAGUCAAUGAAGUACUCCCGGAACCCGCCAUCCCGAUAUUAAGGAACACAGAGCCGGCUAGAAAGGUCGAAGUCAAAUAGAAACCACCAUUGUCGGUCCCGGUUGGGCCAGAGACAUGAGCAUUUUAAGAGGAGGAUGAUUAUGGAAUUUUGAUAUCAUUCAUAGCUCAUUAUAAUACCGAUUCCACCAAAUCAACUGUCGAGGAGUUGGAACAAGUUAUAUUGAAUGAACACCUACCAAAUCAAAAGGUAUACGUGGGUAUAGGGUUAACCCCUAAGCUUAGGAAAGAACUCAUUAAUUUCCUUAAAACUAACAUAUCCUAUUUCGCUGGUUCCCCUCUUGAUUGGAAGGGACCUCCAGAUAUAACCACUCAUAAGUUGAGUUUGGACCCAAAGUUCCACCCGAUUAAACAAAAGAGAAGACCUCAAUCUGAGGUCAAGCAUGUAUUCAUCAACGACGAGGUAUCUAAACUCCUUAAAAUAGGAUCCAUCCAGAAAGUUGGGUACCUGAUAUGGUUAGCUAAUGUAGUAGUAGUACCUAAAAAGUAAAAUAAUCUAAGAAAGUGUGUAGAUUACAAAGACUUGAACAAGGCAUGCCCUAAGGAUUAUUUUCAUUUACCUAACAUUGAUCGUAUAAUCGACGCAAUGUACGAGCAUGAGAUACUCAUUUUUUGUGCCUAUUACUAGUACAAAAAAUUCGGUUGGACCCGGGUGAUCAAGAAAAAACUUCCUUUAUCACUUUGACACCUAUUGCUAUAACAUAAUGUCAUUUAAAUUAAAGGACACUGGUUCCACUUAUCACUGCCUAGUAAAUCGGAUUUUUGAAGAACAAAUAGGAAAAUUAAUGGAAGCUUAUAUUGGCGACAUGAUAGUUAAGUCCCUACGAGCAUAGGACCAUCUGAAACAUUUGCAACAAAACCUUUGACAUACUGAAGAAAUACAGUAAGAAGCUAAAUCCCAAGAAGUGCGCUUUCGGUGUUGAUUCAGAAAAGUUUCUCAUGUUUAUGGUAUCCAAUCGGGGAAUCGAGAUUAAUCCUAAAAAAAUCAAAACCAUAGAAGACAUCACCGUGGUAGAUAACGUCAAGGUCGUUAAGAGGUUGACGGGAAUAUAUCCGCCUGGUUGGUUUAUAUCGAGGUCUUCAGACAAAAGUUGUGACUUCUUCUCACUAUUAAAGAAGAAGAAUAAUUUUUCCUGGACCCCGGAGUGCCAACAAGCUUUGGAGGAACUCAGACGGUACCUUUCAAGUCUGCCCUCGCUCGACACUCUGAAGACGGAAGUAAAUUCCAUGAGUUUUAACUUUGGAUUACAGAAACAAAUACAUAGAUCACUUGAAAAUGGGAAAGUUGCCCUCGGACCCGAAACUAUUGAGGGAUCUAUUUACGAACACUGCUAGGUUUAGCUUGUUAAGGGACUUUGUCCAAAAGAGCAUUCGAAGGCCUGUUUUCCAUAUGUUUUGGACCUGCAGUUACCGAAUAUGCCUUGAGAGAAGUUCACGAAGGCACUUGCAGAAACCCUUCGGGGGCGGAAUCUUUGGUUUGAAAUUAAUCAGGGCCAGCUAUAAAGUUAUGGAUGAGGGAUAAUUGAUACAAGAAGAUGAGAUGCCAAGCAAUGAAGCGCAAGCAAAUGAUGAGGCUUGCUCCUCCAUAUCCUCAAAGGCUUGCCAAGCAAAAUGGUGAGAACCAAUUCAAAAGGUUUAUUGACAUGAUGAAAAGUUUGUCUAUUAAUGUACCAUUGGUUGAGGCCUUGGAAUAAAUACCGGGAUAUGCAAAGUUCAUGAAGUAUUUGGUCACCAAAACGAGGUCGAUGAAUUGUGAAACUAUAAAGAUGACACACCAAGUGAGUGCAAUUGUGCAUUCAAUGGAUCCUAAGUUGGAAAAUCUAGGAGCUUUCAUAAUUCAAUGUACAAUUGGAUGUGAAGACUUUGCCAAAGCUUUAUGUGAUCUUGGGGAGAGUAUCAACUUGAUGCCCUACUCAGUGUUCAACACUUUGAGGUUGGGAAACCAAGACCCACAUCUAUGAGGUUGCAAAUGGUGGAUCGUACAAUGAAGAGGCCUUUGGGUAUUAUUGAUGAUGUAUUGUUUUGUGUUGACAUGUUCAUCCUUCUGGCAAAUUUUGUGAUCUUUGAUUGUGAAGUGGACUGUUAGGUGCCUGUUAUUUUAGGUAGACCUUUCCUUGCUAUGGGGAAGGCUCUAGUUGAUGUGGAAUUCGAUGUGCUCACUUUCCAGGUUGGUGUUACAAAGGUGGUCUUCCGUAGAUUCAAAUCUAUAAGGCAAGUGAAUAGCAAUGAAGUUUGUUUGUUCAUGGAUUUGGUGGAUGAUGUGAUAACUGAUGAUUCUAGUGCUAGAAGGAAUAUUAAGGAUAAUUUGGAAGUUGUCUUGCUCAACCUUGACGAUAAUUAGGAGAAAGAAGGCUAUGUAGAGUGUGUGAAUGCAUUGAAAGGAAUUGGGUCGUACAUUAUGAGCCUCGCAAGUUAUGCUUGGAACUUGAAAAUCGGAUGACUCCUCAAAUAAAGCCUGCAAUCGAGGAGCCUCCCUCUCUUUAGUUAAAACCAUUGCCAGUGCAUUUCAGGUAUGAGUUCCUUGACCAUUCUUCUACUUUACCGAUUAUUCUUUCCUCUUGUUCUAACAUGCAGGUAGAGUCCAUAUUGGAGGUGCUACAAAGGAGGAAGUGAGCAAUUGGAUGGACAUUGGCAGAUAUCCGGGCAUAAGUCCCGCCUUUUGCAUGAACAAUAUUAUUUUAUAUGAGGGUGAAAAACCCUCCAUUAAACAUCAAAGGAUACAAAAUGAAGCAAUGCAAGAGGUAAUCAAGAAGGAGAUAAUCAAGUAGUUGGAUGUCAGGGUUGUUUACCCCAUUUUGAUAGUUCAUGGACUUUUCUGGUGCAAUGUGUCCCAAAGAAAAAGGGCAUGACUAUGGUUACCAAUGACAAGAACGAGUUGAUUCCUACAAGAACAGUGACCGGAUGGUGUGUGUAUAGACUAUCACAAGAUCAACAAAGUUACAAGAAAAGAUUAUUUUUCACUUCCCUUCCUUGAUCAAAUGCUUGAUAGAUUGGACUGUCGUGCUUUCUAUUGCUUCCUCAAUGGGUGUUCCGGCUACAAUCAAAUUCUCAUUGCUCCGGAGGAUCAAGAAAAGACCGUUUUCCCACAUCCCUAUGGUACUUUUGCAUUCUCGUGGAUGCCAUUUGGGUUAUGCAAUGCAACAACGACAUUUCAACAGUGUAUGAUGGUUAUCUUCACUUACAUGGUGCAGGAUAUUCUUGAGCUUUUCAUGGACGAUUUUUCCGUGGUUGGUGUCACACCUCCAUUUUUACACGGCUACCUCGAAGGUUAAAAACUCAUAUAUGAUUUUUUCCAAUCAAAGUGACAUUAUUCGAAAUGGGAUUAUUUAUUUAUUAGAGUCGCCACUUGUGAUAGGUUUGGCUUUUGGUGUCCCAAGUCACCGGUUCAUUUAGAAUCCCAAAUCGAGGAAAAUUGUCAACUGCCCAAAUGGAGUCUGCGAAACAAAAUUCUAAGUAAGAAAUUCUGUUGACCCGAGGGAAGGUAUUAGGCACCCUCGGAUCCCGUGGUUCUAGCAUGGUCGCUUAAACUAUUUUAAUUGGCUAAUGUUCUAAUUUUUAUACAUGUUCAUCCUAUGAGCAUUUUUUUAAUUUUAACCGCUUUAUUCAUUUUUAGGAAUAUUGCAACGUUAUUAAAACACAUCUUGAACCACGUCACAUAAAUGCACCCGCAGUUUUCGACAUAUUUUAACAUUGGUCAGAUUUGGAUUUGGGUCACAUAAAUGCACACUCGAAUUUAGGAAGAUAAAUUAUUAAAAUAAAACGCCCAAAGCAACUGCACGUUUUCAAGUGUACGAGGGCCAUGGAAAAUUCACUAAUGGCGCUCUUUGAUUUCUUAGGAGUUAAAAAUUAAUUAAGUGAGGACCAUAUGUUUGGGAUUUUAUUUGGCAUAGCACGCCGAUAUAUAAAAAUUAUUUUCUUAGACUACUUUUAGAAUGUUGUGAGGUCAUGUUUUGUGGAUAUUAAUUUGCAAAAAAGAUGUAUGAUUUAUCUAAACAAAAUUUAUUUUUGUUAAACCUGUUCGACUAAAUUAACAUAUGAAUAAUCAAUCAGCUAAGACUAAGCCAUCAGAGAGCCAACAGUAAAUAACCUGAAUGAAGUGAUUAAAUACGAUAGGGAUCUAUUAUAAACUUUCGUCAACCAAAUACAUUUAUAACAUUGGAUAAAACCAAACACACAUGACUGGGAGGAAAUCGAUCCUAGCAUUGCUAUUAAUAAUAAAACUAACCAAGUUAUCAUGCCUCUGUUAUUAAGACACUGAAGAUACAAUGAUGAUUAAAUAGUAUACUUGACCGAAAGCAACAAACAUUUAUAACAGUUAAAUUAAACUUUGGAACCAAAUUUGCUCACGGUCAAGAUUUUAAAUCAAUAACCACAACUAUUUUAACAUUUAUUUAGACUAAAUCUUAAAAAAAGACAAGAAAUAAGAAUUUUAACCUCAUCUAAUAAGUAAAACAAAAUUUGCAUUAAAAUCAUUCAUCCAAAGCAACAAAGAGAUGAUCAGAGAGGUACCUUAAUGGAAACAAUUUCCUUUAAUAUUACUGAAGAAUGUUGUAAAGUUGGAGUACAAUGAAGAACAAUGACCAAAUUUGAGGACUAACACGACCAUAUACCAAAGAUCGUGAAUAGAUCCAAUAUCACGUCGUCAGCCUUAGCGGACUCAAAUCGGACCUCGACUCGACACUAAUAUGCACAAAAGGGGGCUGCUUUUGAGCUGCAUUUUGUUUAAGUUUUAGUGGAGAUCGAACAAUGAUGGUUAAGUGGUUAUUGUAGUUGGGUUAGGAUGAUUUUCAACAGUAUUUAACUGGAGAAGAGGGUGAUUUUGACUGCAUUUUUGGGACUAUUUGGUGUCUGAAUUUCAGCUGGGUUUUUCGGAGGUUUUACACAAUAUUUGGGGCUGAUUUUGAUGGCGGAACUUGAGGUUUAUGGGUUAUUGUUUUUGGGACUGGUUUGAAACUGAGAUUUACCGGUGUUUUUUUAAGAAGAUAAAAUUCUAGGAAGGGGAUAGGUCUUAUUGGGUAUUAAGCGCAACUUUUCAG
This 11359-nucleotide long non-coding RNA is filed under the name Nicotiana benthamiana. RNAcentral describes it as "long non-coding RNA (NBEN_LNC015977)". The record is from RNAcentral. Lineage: Eukaryota; Viridiplantae; Streptophyta; Magnoliopsida; Solanales; Solanaceae.